Molecule: long non-coding RNA, 1582 nt
Organism: Nematostella vectensis (starlet sea anemone)
Lineage: Eukaryota; Metazoa; Cnidaria; Anthozoa; Actiniaria; Edwardsiidae
Exons: 2
Source: RefSeq, a predicted model, not a curated record
UGUUGUGAGAUCUUUCUUUCUUAUUGUUUACAUGUCCAUGUCUACUGGAAGCUGCACCAUCUUAUUGUUUACAUUUCAAUAUCUACUCGAAGCUGCACCAAUAUCAAGCAACCCUGGUCACUAAAAACGGGUCCGAGAAAAACAAAUGGUUGCCAUCUUGUCAAAAUCAUCAAAUGACCGAUCGCUAAAACAUCUUGUGAAAAGUGACGUGAUGUUCCAACACAAAGCCCCCCCUCCUAAAUGAAUCCAACCGAAACCAACUAAUGUAAAUCAAAACACACUAACUACUCAAGGCCCAAUAAGUGGAGUGAAACACAUCAAUAAUGUGGUAAAGUGAUCUUACGGAACUCUCCUCAAGAAAACUUUUAAUAUUCCGAGAGGAGACUAUAUUACUGAUAGCAUGGCCUGCACUGCAUGGUAUCAUAGAUUGAUAUAAUACUGUAGAUGGUAUAUAAGGGCAAGCAAGGCAGCGGUAAACGUGUUUAGAAAAAAAAAAAGAAAAUAAAGAAGAGGAACUCGAAGAAAAGAGUAUGAAUAACCUAAUAACAAAAGGCAGCGACAGCCAACUGACCCAAAAGAACGCGAACCUUGAUGAUUCUUUAGCAUACAUAAAAUAUGACAAUCUAGGGCUAAUUUUAUCAGUAACUGGUCUGUUGGCUACUAUAUUGCUACUGAUAGUUGUCGUGCGAUGUUGCUAUUUCAACUAUCGCUAUCAGAAAGACGUGAAAAACCGCAUGGAGUUGGAAGACAAGAUGAUUUCAAAGUUUGGAAUGAGGGAUUUUUAUUAAAGAAGGUUGAUGUAGCACGACACAAACACUGCAACAAGGACAACAAAACAGCUUGGUGUGGCUGAUGCUUGCACUUAGGUCAUAGCUGAAAUCGAAAGGAGUGGAGCGGAACGGUAAAUUGCUCAAUUGUCUCCCCUGACGAUUCGGACGUGGUUCAAGCGUUAUGUCAAGUUUAGAAGAGAGAUGCACAAUAAAGAGGACAAACGAUUUGAUAUUUGACACGGGGAGUAGCUGAUUUAAAAAAAAUCGAGCUACACGCAGGCCCUUAAAAAAUCGAGGAAGCAAAGGCUGGCAGAAAAAUCACCACAUCCUUCGGGAAAAAAUCUCAAAUGGUCUGUCUCUUACCACUAUGAACAAUUAAUGAUGUCGUAGCAAUAACAUUUAUUAGAGGUUUGGUGAUUACGCCCAAAACAAUGGUACGCACUAGACAGACAUAUUCUAUUGUCAUAAUUUAUUGGCAGUGAAUUGGUAAAGUAAUUAAAAAAAAUAAACAGGGGCGGAUCCAGGAUCUCCAAAAUGGACAGAUUUAUUGUUCUACCGCCGAUCACCCUUUUUUUUUAUCUUGUUAUGAAAAUAGUGGUGCCGGGACCCGGUCCCACCCCUAGAUCCGCCCAUGGUAUGUCAUGGUAUGUCAAGGGCGGAUCUACGGGUGGGACGACCUACCCUAUUUUCAGAUAUUUAGAUUAUGAUAAGCAGUAGGAGAGUCGGGCAGCUACAAGAACACAUGUAAUACUAAAGAAUCUUAUUUGAAAAAUAGUAAAUAUAUAACAAAAUUAAAUAUUUGAAAUCAUAAA